Molecule: long non-coding RNA, 2747 nt
Organism: Clupea harengus (Atlantic herring)
Lineage: Eukaryota; Metazoa; Chordata; Actinopteri; Clupeiformes; Clupeidae
Exons: 2
Source: RefSeq, a predicted model, not a curated record
UUUCCAUUUUUUUUCUUCUACUGAUAGAAAACCUGGAGUGGAAUACCUAUGAAAAGUACUCAACAUGGCUGUUGGCAAGGUCUGCUAAUAAUCAGGCAUAAUCCUCUGGAAGUGUCCUCUAAUAAGAAAUAUAAUGAAUGUUAAGCAAAAACAGCAUCAGGGUCCAAAUUACAUGAUAUUACUUGAACAGGUGCAGGGGAGCGCUUUAAAUGAGCUAUAUGAAUAAAAUGUCCCCACGCACAACUGGGUGGACUGACAAAAAAGUCAAUCACAUGAAUAAUUCAGGCAGUGGGCUGUCUACAAAGGUCAGCCUAUCUUGACCUUUGUGACAGGAAGUGAAAGAGGGUACCGCCAGCUAGGAAAACCCCAAUCAGUCUUCAGACACUCCACCAUUAUUAGUUCCAAAAGCAGAGGCUACAGUUGUAAAUGAACCUACAGUCUGGAUCUGACAUAGCAAAUAUAGCAUGUUCCCCAGGCUGUCUAUACAAGGCUGAUAUGGUAGUGAAUGUAUCCGUAUAUUGACUUUAUCUCCUCUCUCUAAACAGAUAAAUAUUAAUAAUCUAUUGUAGCAUGGGGUAAUGUUUGAAAUAUUUAAAGAUCUACUGGGGUUGAAAUUCUGUAACAGCUGUUAAAUCUGACCAACUUUUUUUUCUUUCUUUUUUCAAAAACCUAAAGCUGUAACAAAGUCCAAGAGAAAAUGGGAUAAACAGAUGUCUGGCUUGACUACAGGAAAAUAGGACACAUUUGGAAUGAUAAGUCUCCUAAACUCCAUUGAAAAUGCCAGAUCUGUGAGGUUGCCAGUUACUGUCCAACAUGAUGCCAACUAGCAGUAUGACUGCCCCAUGUGCCAUCUGGGAAAAUGUUGCUGAGAACGUUAUCGAUAAUGGAUCACGAGUCUAGUCAGCAUGCUCUAGCACUGCAAAACUAUCCCUCUCUCUCUCACACACACACACACACACACACUCUCAGACUCCUUUCCUCUCUUUCCCUCCCACUCUCUCUCUCUCCCUCUAUAGAGGAUCGCAGUAAAAUGUUUUGAUUGUAACGUAAUCGGACCUCCCUUGUCUGCCUCAACAAUCAGCCCUUUCAGCCUACAGCCUCAGUCAGCCCAUGGAUAUGCAAGCCCUUGCCCCGAAGAGAACAAGCAAACAUGGAUGCACUAUGAUUUCCAUAACAUCAAAUCUGACACAUGCCAAGACUAACUUGGAGAUCAUAUAGAGGCAUACCUAACGAUGCACAUGCCACACAAAACAGAGCCGCCUAAUGGAAUACCAGAGCAACACUGGAGAGCCGUACAAGUGUGUUUUCCCCCUCCUGCUUUGGAGGUUCUGACCCGCGCCCACAUGCAUCUACACUACAGACAUUUAAGGCUUGUGCAGCAACAGUCACUGCCUGAAUGUUCUGGGUGCAAUGGGACAAAAUCAUCUGCUCAUAGUUGUGAUAUGCAGACAAUGGAAGAGCCUAAUGAGGAACAUCUGCUUUUGUGAUUCCACAGAAAAGAUCGCUCCUCUAUGAAAACGAUACUCCGCUCCCAUUCAACCACAUCACAAUGAAAAUGUGAGCUUUUUUAUCCACUGUUUGAACUUACGACAAUAUCCCUCCUUUUGCUUCCCUUUCUCCCGUCCAUGGGAUCCAAUCCUCCUCUCCACUGUACUCCUUUUCCUAUUUUACUUAUAUUACACUCAUUGUUCAGCAGAUUGAACCACAAAGCCUGGAGACACUCGAUACGUCAACUCUAUUUAGCAACAAUACAAAGAGAGGCAAUUUGAAGGAAGAGCAUAUGUGUUAAAUAUCAAUGACGCCCUGUUGUUAAGUGUUCACCUAAUAUUACUUUGAAGGCAAUAUACUGUAUCACUGGCUCUCUCUAACUCUAAAGCGACUUCAUGUAGCUGAGACUUCCCAGGCACCAGGGGGAGGAAGUGAUGCAUGUUUUAUCUUCUGUGUGUCGUACCAAAACAAACCCCCUUUACUCCCCUAUUACAGGGGACAGAGUGGAGGCAAGCAGCACAUAAAUCUAACCCCUGCCAUCCUACUUAUUGCCAUUCACACACACACACACACACACAAUAAGGGCCACUUGUAAAUCUGUUUGGCGCUUCUGAAUAUACUUCCCAUACAUCUAACCAUGCAAGCUAAUGCUUUAAUGCACUCUGUUUAAAAAGUACUUAAAGGGUAAGAUGUUGAAAUUACACAGCAGCGACUUCCUGUUCUGUAGACGACUGAGAAAGGAAAUUGCAAAUAUUAUUUGUGUUUCCUCUCAGCCAUGACAGUAAUGAGACACCAAAGGAAACGUAGACAUCAUAACCCCAGAAUGUGCAACAAUGUCAAAUACACGCUGCCCCGAAAAGCAUACGACGCUUUCCAUAAAAUCAGCCCUCCAGAAUGUGAGACCUAUUUUCCGACGGUGGACUCAGUCCAUGACUGACGGCAGCAACUGACAGCACAGCUCACCCUCAGAGAGAAACUUUUUUUUGCAACAGUGAGGUCUGUCAAAUACCCGAGCUGCCUUCCCCUGCCAGUUCACAAGGGCUCCUCUCGCGCUUACGGUGCUGGCAUCAGACACGGAGGGUUCAUGGUCAUUUACAGCAUGUGGGAGAAACGUGGACUCUGGAUUUAUGGAGCAAGGUGGACUUGUUCUACCUCACUAGCACUUAAGAGCCUGAACCUAAAAUACUGUCUUGUCACUCUGGCUCAUGUCAGAGUGAAUGUGGUUAUUAAGUGAUGAUUAAAUUCAAAUCUUUUUAUUA